This is a long non-coding RNA of Asparagus officinalis (garden asparagus), 504 nucleotides long. RefSeq lists it as uncharacterized. The record is from RefSeq and is a predicted model, not a curated record. The transcript is spliced from 2 exons. Lineage: Eukaryota; Viridiplantae; Streptophyta; Magnoliopsida; Asparagales; Asparagaceae.
GUAUUGAAUUCUAUACUUUCGCUUUGUUUUUCAGAUUAACUGAAGAUGAAGAAUUUAAAAGAGUGGUUUUCCUAUGAGCUAUUGUCUAAAUCAUUACUAUCUGCAAGGCCUUUCAGCUUCUUUUAUGAGGAAUCACUGGAUGGUGAACUUGGCAACCGAGGAGAAAUAUUGAGGUCUCUAUGGUGAUUUCGGAUUCUAACCCUUGCUAUGAAGACACAUAUGAGGCUUGCUGCAGUACUUUUAAUGUUGCUAUUGAGUCCAACUGAGUGUUAUGUUUGUUUCAUGGUCUUUUCUUUCUUCUGUCAUGAUCUUGUUCAUGUCUGAACAUUUGAAAGAUGGGAAAUAAGUGGACUAUGGUUGUGUUACUAUUUUGUUUAUAGACGAACUUACUACUCUUCUAGUUUAUCAAGUAAUUAAGUAGAUUGUCCUUACUAAUCGUGAUCGUGUUGCUGAUAGUUAUGAUGGCAUUUAUAUCAAGUUAUUGAUCUUAUACAGAUCCUUGCA